UUCUUACUAUAUACUACCAAUUUUUUUUAAAAACGGUGUAAUUAUGAGGAAGAUUAAAAUGGGGAAAAGGUAAGUGCGUUGAUUGUGAAAAAAAGGACAAUAUGUGGUGCUUUGAUAAGUGGGAUACCGAUUCAUAUAGUUUAGGCUUUCUAUAAAGUGAAUUAUCACAUGAUUUCAAAGAUAAAUGUUAUGUUCAACUUUGAAGACAAGAUUUUAAAGAAAAAGAAGAAAUUACUUAUUGU
Molecule: long non-coding RNA, 242 nt
Filed under: Brassica napus (rape)
Lineage: Eukaryota; Viridiplantae; Streptophyta; Magnoliopsida; Brassicales; Brassicaceae
Description: long non-coding RNA (BNAP_LNC023750)
Source: RNAcentral